RNAcentral lists this ribosomal RNA (463 nucleotides) under Vreelandella stevensii. RNAcentral's name for it is "partial 16S ribosomal RNA". It matches the Rfam family "Bacterial small subunit ribosomal RNA", at positions 338 to 795 of the family's 1533-position model. Lineage: Bacteria; Pseudomonadati; Pseudomonadota; Gammaproteobacteria; Oceanospirillales; Halomonadaceae. The record is from RNAcentral.
CCUGGGAGGCAGCAGUGGGGAAUAUUGGACAAUGGGCGAAAGCCUGAUCCAGCCAUGCCGCGUGUGUGAAGAAGGCCUUCGGGUUGUAAAGCACUUUCAGUGGGGAAGAAAGCCUUGGGGCUAAUACCCUCGAGGAAGGACAUCACCCACAGAAGAAGCACCGGCUAACUCCGUGCCAGCAGCCGCGGUAAUACGGAGGGUGCGAGCGUUAAUCGGAAUUACUGGGCGUAAAGCGCGCGUAGGCGGUCUGAUAAGCCGGUUGUGAAAGCCCCGGGCUCAACCUGGGAACGGCAUCCGGAACUGUCAGGCUAGAGUGCAGGAGAGGAAGGUAGAAUUCCCGGUGUAGCAGUGAAAUGCGUAGAGAUCGGGAGGAAUACCAGUGGCGAAGGCGGCCUUCUGGACUGACACUGACGCUGAGGUGCGAAAGCGUGGGUAGCAAACAGGAUUAGAUACCCUUGUAGUC